CCUACGGGUGGCUGCAGUGGGGAAUAUUGCACAAUGGGGGCAACCCUGAUGCAGUGACGCCGCGUGAGUGAAGAAGGAUCUCGGUACGUAAAGCUCUAUCAGCAGGGAGGAAAGUGACGGUACCUGACUAAGCAGCCACGGCUAACGACGUGCCAGCAGCCGCGGUAUUACGUAGGGGGAAAGCGUUAUCCGGAUUUACUGGGUGUAAAGGGAGCGUAGACGGCAGCACAAGUCUGGAGUGAAAUCCCGGGGCUUAACCCCGGAACUGCUUUGGAUACUGUGCGGCUGGAGUGCAGGAGAGGUGAGUGGAAUUCCGAGUGUAGCGGUGAAAUGCGUAGAGAUUAGGAGGAAUACCGGUGGCGAAGGCGGCUUACUGGACGGAGACUGACGUUGAGGCUCGAAAGCGUGGGGAGCAAACAGGAUUAGAUACCCUAGUAGUC
RNAcentral lists this ribosomal RNA (440 nucleotides) under uncultured bacterium. RNAcentral's name for it is "partial 16S ribosomal RNA". It matches the Rfam family "Bacterial small subunit ribosomal RNA", at positions 338 to 795 of the family's 1533-position model. The record is from RNAcentral.